GCCAGUCAGACGUAGCAAGAUGGUCUCUCCGGUUCAGUUUAUCUGGCUGUUAGUGUUCUGGAUCCAGGAUUCCAAUGGGCAGAUUGUGAUGACUCAAACUCCAGAAUCCCUGGCAGUGUCUCCUGGAGACACAGUCACUAUCCGCUGCAAAGCCAGUUCAAGUGUCAGCAUUGGCAGCAAUAACUACUUAGCCUGGUACCAACAGAAAUCAGGACAAGCUCCGAAACUCCUUAUCUAUGCUGGAAGCUCCCUGCAAUCUGGAGUCCCAGCCCGGUUCAGCGGCAGCGGGUCUGGCACUGAUUUCACUCUCACAAUCAGUAAGGUUGAAGCUGAAGAUGCUGGAGAUUAUUACUGUCAGCAGUCUCACAGCUCACCUCUCACAGUGAUACAGGCCAAUACAAAAACCUCCAUCCUGUUCCUUUCAGGACAAGAUUUCAAGGAUGAUUUUGACUUGUACGUGGCACGUAAUGUGCCUUCUGAUGAGAGCAUAAUAGCCUUUGAAUAUGGAGAUGUGAAUCCGAGAUAUUUUCCUGUUAUGUCCAGUGUGGCAUUACCUGCACUUGCAAUUCCA
Molecule: non-coding RNA, 571 nt
Organism: Terrapene triunguis (Three-toed box turtle)
Lineage: Eukaryota; Metazoa; Chordata; Testudines; Emydidae
Source: the annotation of a RefSeq genome assembly